GAAAGUGGGCUGGGAUGCCUGGGCAGGGAAGGGCAGAGCUGUGGCAGUGAUGGCCUUCAGAAGUGCCUUGCCUCCGGGCAGCCCACUGCACUUCUGGGUGGCACUAGGACCUAGUCCUUGGCCUCAUAGAUUGAUAACCUUAUAUCCUUCCUGCUUUAUCAUCAGGAGGGUCCUUUAUUUCAGUAGGGUGGCUCCUCUCUGUGAGACCCCAGUUUCUAGCCUUAUUUACCCUGUAUUCCCACUAGCAGCCUCCAACAGCCAGGCGAUUUCUUACCAUGAGCUGUGGGGACGGAGAUGCUGCCAGUAUUACCAGAAUCCAUUUUCCUCCCUGCCCUUCCCGUAGGGGUCACUGUAUGCCAGGAACCUGACACUGAGCUGCUUCUAGCCACCUCUAGUACUGCAAAGUAGUCAUCCAUUUCUCUUAGUGAAGACACUGGGUUACUUGACUGGGAUAUCACACUUCCUCCACCCUGAGGCUGUGGGUGCUCCCCCACCUUCUGCCAUCAUGGUGGGGAAAGUGCACACACCGGUUAGUGGGCUCCAAGGAUCACUACGCAGUUGAUCGGCGAGGGUAGAAGUUUUGAGACUCAAUUUUUGGAUUAGAAACCGAUGUAUUCGGAUGUGACGCACCAUUAUAACCGAGUCACUCAGGAGUCCAAGGCUAGCCUGCACUGUCUAGUGAGAGCCUGUCUCCAGAAUAAAGCAAAUUCAUGUCAA
Molecule: long non-coding RNA, 717 nt
Filed under: Rattus norvegicus (Norway rat)
Lineage: Eukaryota; Metazoa; Chordata; Mammalia; Rodentia; Muridae
Description: long non-coding RNA NONRATT006077
Source: RNAcentral